Aquila chrysaetos chrysaetos is the source of this 332-nucleotide long non-coding RNA. RefSeq lists it as uncharacterized. The record is from RefSeq and is a predicted model, not a curated record. Lineage: Eukaryota; Metazoa; Chordata; Aves; Accipitriformes; Accipitridae. The transcript is spliced from 3 exons.
UCAGUCCUAGUCACAGCAUAUUUAUUCAGUAUUCUCCUUCUCUAGCUAUUUUUACAGUAGGAAAAGAAAGACAAGUUUACACAAAAGAACAGAAAGGGGAAGUAACUGACAGAGCUCAUUGCACCUUGACUGUCCCGCAGCCUCCAGACACUAUGUAGAACUGGCAUUGAGAUGGGACAGUUCUAGACAAUCACUUUAAAACAAAUAUAUUUCAUACCAUAUGAAGAAAGCAGAACAAUGUAGGCCCUGCAUCUCUUCUGCACGCAAAUGCCUGUGAAUCAAAGCCUUGACUGAUGCUCUUUGUGGAGAUUAGCCUUCAACAAUCCAAGUAA